Molecule: ribosomal RNA, 885 nt
Filed under: uncultured bacterium
Lineage: Bacteria
Description: bacterial SSU rRNA
Rfam family: Bacterial small subunit ribosomal RNA
Source: RNAcentral
AUUCGCCUUAGAGUUUGAUCCUGGCUCAGGAUGAACGCUGGCGGUAUGCUUUACACAUGCAAGUCGUACGAGAGUUUUUAACUCAAGUGGCGGACGGGUGAGUAACACGUAAGAAUUUGCCUUUAGGAGGGGGAUAACAACUGGAGACGGUUGCUAAUACCCCAUAUGCUUUCGAGUAAAAUGGAUUUUCCGCCUAAAGAGAAGCUUGCGGCUGAUUAGCUUGUUGGUGAGGUAAUGGCUCACCAAGGCGACGAUCAGUAUCUGGUUUGAGAGGACGAUCAGACACACUGGAACUGAGACACGGUCCAGACUCCUACGGGAGGCAGCAGUGGGGAAUUUUCCGCAAUGGGCGAAAGCCUGACGGAGCAAUACCGCGUGAGGGAUGACGGCCUAUGGGUUGUAAACCUCUUUUUUCAGGGAGGAAUCAAUGACGUGUACCUGAAGAAUAAGCAUCGGCUAACUCCGUGCCAGCAGCCGCGGUAAGACGGAGGAUGCAAGUGUUAUCCGGAAUCACUGGGCGUAAAGCGUCUGUAGGUGGUCAAAUAAGUCAACUGUUAAAUCUUGAGGCUCAACCUCAAAAUCGCAGUCGAAACUAUUCGACUAGAGUAUAGUAGGGGUAAAGGGAAUUUCCAGUGGAGCGGUGAAAUGCGUAGAGAUUGGAAAGAACACCGAUGGCGAAGGCACUUUACUGGGCUAUUACUAACACUGAGAGACGAAAGCUAGGGUAGCAAAUGGGAUUAGAUACCCCAGUAGUCCUAGCCGUAAACAAUGGAUACUAGAUGUUGAACAGAUCGACCUGUGCAGUAUCAAAGCUAACGCGUUAAGUAUCCCGCCUGGGAAGUAUGCUCGCAAGAGUGAAACUCAAAUGAAUUGACGGGGAAGGGC